Molecule: long non-coding RNA, 265 nt
Filed under: Lathyrus oleraceus (garden pea)
Lineage: Eukaryota; Viridiplantae; Streptophyta; Magnoliopsida; Fabales; Fabaceae
Description: Pisum sativum (pea) long non-coding RNA (PSAT_LNC037156)
Source: RNAcentral
UCGAACAUGAGUUACUGAAAUACCAAGGUUGCUACCGCUUUGCGUUGUUGUUGCUGGAAGAACGUCGAGUCGUGAUGUGACGGUUCCGGUUGUAGCCUUUCUGGUUGCAGCAAGGUUGACGUUGGAGAGUUUAAGGGACUUGUGGUUUUUGUACAGCUGAAGCGUGGAAGGGGUAUGAAGGGUUAUUUUUCUGUGUGAACAGUGUUGCAGAGAGAGAUUUCGAAAAUGUCUUUCUCCUCUCCUUUUUUCUCUUUUUGAAUGGUAG